Molecule: long non-coding RNA, 4799 nt
Filed under: Brassica napus (rape)
Lineage: Eukaryota; Viridiplantae; Streptophyta; Magnoliopsida; Brassicales; Brassicaceae
Description: long non-coding RNA (BNAP_LNC007520)
Source: RNAcentral
AUGAGACUGAAACAAGAUUAAUCAUUUUCUUUCCAGUACUUAAUGUUGAGUGGUGUUUUGUAUAGCCACAUGCCACAUGCCACAUGCCACAUACCAUUUGCCUGCCUGUUAUAUUUAUAGUCAACAGAUUAUAUCAUUUCUUGAGACCAAAGAAAGUCCAAAUCAGAUACAAAUUAAAGAGAAAGGCAUUAAUCUAAGGGUCCGAUUGGUAAUUGCUGUAGCUUUAAAUAUUUUGCUGUAGAAAAAAAUCUGUAGACUUUUGGCUGUGGCUUUAGAUUUUAUUGCUGUAGAAUUUUAUUGAAGCACUAAAAAAUUGCUUUGGAUAUUUGGCUCUGCAGAGCACUUGUACAACUGUAGGUUAUUUUAAGAGCUGUGGUUUCAAAAAAAAAAUUAAAGCUUGAUUGCUCUGAAUUUGGUGCUGUAGAAAUAAAUAGGGCUGUGGACAGCACCUACAGCAACUACCAAUCAUCCCCUAAAUUAAUAAUUUUAGUCGAAAGAUAACGCCCAACACUUUCUUUGAAAUUUAUAACUUUGCUAAAAUGAUAUUUACAAGCUAAAUUAUUCAUCUAUGAAUAAUAUCAUUUCAAUGUUUCUUCAUCUUUUAGUCUUUGAAGGAUCCAAACAGGUUCUGGAUAAAAAUGUACACAUUUCCACAUCGAACUGUGGUUUUCAUAGUCAUAAACUGUGUUCCAGUUGUAGCAAUAAAUUCUAUUAGAAAUAUUUUACUUUGAGCCAAAAGUUUUCAGUAUUUUUAAUAAAAUUUCAGACGUGUUUUAGACCUAUUAACUAUUUGAAAGCAAUUUUUUAGGCUAAGUUUUAUUUUAUCUUUGGAAAAGCAAAUCAGAAAUCAGCAGACAGAAGAUUGCAAACUCAUGUAUCUCUUGCUUUAAUUUGAGUUCAAUACAUGAGUCUCAGACGUGUUUUAGACCUAUUACCUAUUUGAAAGCAAUUGCUUAGGCUCAACUUUUGUUGGAGAGACUAUCUAUGCUUAGAUCUUAGAAUUUUAAAUCUAUUUUCGAAUUCAAUCAAUUCAUACAAACAUUAAGAUCAAGUUUGAUAAGUUCACUAAAUCCUUAAACUAUUUUUUUAGAAUAGUUAUUUGGCUCAUCUAUGAUUAUCUCAUGUAAUCAAUAACACUAUAAUAUCUACCAAUUAUCCUAAAAUCUAAAUGUCAGGUUGUCAAUCCAUAUAUAGCAUUAAGAAUAAUCUAGAUGAAGAAUUUAAUCAAUAACCCUAGCAGUUGCUUGAUUUGAGCAUUGUGAUUUGAGUUAUAGAACUAUUCUUUAUAAACUAUUACCAUCUGUUUAUUUGUAAUUAUGAUUCACAUGAGAGUUUUCCUAGGUCUAGUGCUUUCUUCCAUCACUUACAACUAUAUAAUUUAUUGUCUUUUAUUGCCAACAUCUUAGCCAAAAUUACGCAUGUGCUUUACAUGAGCUUAGUUUUUAUUAGUUUUUCUAUUCCGAUUUGGAUUUUAAGACCGCUUUUAGUUUUAAUGGUAGAAUAGAUGUUUGUUGUCAGAAAAAACCCUAUGGAUCACCAUAAUUGUUUUCGUGUCGGUUUAAGAUGGUUGGAAUAAACUAAUUCACUUGGAUUGGGAAGGCACAUACAGAUUUUAGAGUGUAGUUGUGAUAUGAAGAAUUUAAUCAAUAACCCUAGCAGUUGCUUGAUUUGAGCAUUGUGAUUUGAGUUCUAGAACUAUCUUCUUAUUACAUAAAGUAGACUUUGUCUCUCUUUUUAGAGAGACACGUCAUCAAAUAAAGAGAAGAGAGCCUGACACGUGGCAAUCUAACUUAAACGAUUGAUCACGUUUUGCUAAUGGACUUUCCCCGAAUAUUAGCUUAUAGAAUCUGAGAGCCCAAACUAGACAAAAGAGAGGACCAUAUCGCCAUUUUCUUCUGCAUUCCUCACAGCUUUAGGGUUCUAUGAAUAUCCGCUUCUGUGACCCAAUGAUUCGUCAGUAAGCUUUCCAUCGGACUCUGUUCAUGACGAUUUAGAUUCGGUUCUACACCUCUGAAGCGUUACAAGUCUCAUUGAUUCAGCAUCAUUAACCCAAACUUAACUCUUCCUCACGAUCUUAAAUUCAAUGAAUCUUAUCCAUCUACCAGUCGGUGAUUCUCACCUAUAAAAAACUUAGUAUUCAUCCAUUAAACAUCAUCCUCACAUUUCCUAAUACUGAGAAAAUUUUUAUUUUCAAUAUUUGAGAGCAUCGAAUUUCUUACCGGUGAUUUGAAACGAAAUGGACUUCCGGCUAUCUAUGGGCCCACAACAAGCCAUCCUGGAUUGGCACCUGAAUCCCGUCAACCCGACCCGUUUCCUGAACGCCGUGGAGUGAUUUAGUCAGCUUCUACGGCUGCUGUUUUGUCGUCUGAGUCAUCAUAUUCGGUACGUCCUUCCUCGUUAUCUCAAAUCAGAGAAGAAACUGAAACGAUCUCCAACGACGGAGGGGAAAUGCGGAGAUAUAGGAUUUGAUGGUGGAUUACAUGCAAUUUGUUUCUUGAGACAGAGAUCGUCGUAGCAGUUGGAGCAACGAUUUAUGGUGGUGGACCUGUCGAGGAAGCCGCAGCUGUUAGAACAGAGACGGUGGCCUUCCCGCGUCUGACAUAAACGUUUCUCCGCCACAGAUCUUGAAAGAAAGUUUGAUUUUUUAAAUAAACAAUCUAGAAAAAGCAAUUGAUUUAAAGAGAUAAUGAAUCUGCAGAAUCUAAAAGAAAGAACAUGACACGAACCGGAAUCUGGUCACAGAGAGAAACACAACGAAAGAAAAACAGCAUAUCGAUUAAUUAAAGUGAAGAAAAUUUUAUUUCGCUUUCUCAACAACUAAACAGGGAUUACAAGAAAAUAAUGAGAUGGAAAGUUUAUUAAAAAGCGAGAAGAUAGAGAAGGAAACAUCUCAUAGAGAAGAGAUAAGAGAUAUCAGAGCGGAAGAGGAGUUGUGUAAACUGAUUCUUGAGAAAAGAAGAAGGAGAGGCUUUAGAAUCGGACCUUAAAAAUGUCUACAAUCGUUCAAUAGUUUAACUGCGCUUUAAAAAUUUCUUUCGUGAAGAUAUUUAAGAAAUCAGAGUAAAAGAAAAUAGUAAAAGGAGGUGAGGUCCACUAAGCAAGCAUCGCCAUUUGAUUCCGACGAGCACCAUGUAACCCAAACAUUUAAAAUUUCAAGAAUUGAUUACUUUUUUACGGGCAAUCAAAAGCUCAAACUUGGACAAACCUUUUACAUAAAAAAUGAAGUCUCACACCCACAACAUUAAAACACAGAUCGUUAAAUCAAAGAUAACGAUUAAUAAUUUAGAGAAGACACAUGUAGUUAACGUGUUUACCAAUGGGUGAAAGAGACGAAGCCUCCUAAAGCAAAACUUUAGGACAUUUUAUUUAAUUGCAAAUAGUGCACAUGGUUAAACCCCAGUUGUUAUGAAAAAAAAAACAUAAUUCCAUUAGGACUGUAAGUGACCAAAGAUCAAUAAAUCCCAACACGACAUGAAGCCCACUACAACUUCACACGUAAACACAAGAGAGCUCCAGCCUUCUGUACCUGCAAAAUUCGGAUUCGGUUAUUUCAGAUCGGGUUCGGAUAUUUAGAUUUUGAAAAAAAAUUAAAAUUUUCAUUUUUCAAGUAUCUUGUAUUUAAAAAUAUAACUUUCUGUUAACUAAUUUUUUAUUUUUAAUAGAUUGAAUGGUUAAUAGAUUUGGACAUAACAUUUUAAAACUAAAAAGACAUUAAUUUAGUUAUUUUUUUAAAAAAAAAUUGGAUGUAACUUUUUGUUAAUUUUUGAAAUAAAAAAUUUGACAUGCAUUUUAAGUGAGUAGCAAAUUAUUUUUUCUGUAAUUGUAUGUAUAUCAUAUGAAUUUAAAGUAUGUGUAGUAUCAAUAUAAAUAUUUUAUAUAAAAUGAGAGAUUUAAACUAGAAAUAUAAGGUUAAUUAUACAUAUGUUCGGUUAUCUUCGGAUAUCCAUUCGGGUUCGGGUAACCAAUCUCUCCUUAUUCAAUACCCGUUCGGGUAUUUUGCUACUUUGGUUUGGAUUUCGGUUCGAGUUUUUCGGAUCGGGUUCGGGUGCCACUUCGGAUAUCGGAUAAAGUGCCCACCCCUAAUAUCAACAAUGGUUGAUCGACUCAAUCCCUACCAAUUUUCUGGUAAUGUUCAUGUCCUCAAUUGCAUUUUCACAAAAGGACACCUACAUAUUACUAUGAUGCCUUUAGUGAAAUCUAAAAUAUAUUUUCCUUUUGCUAAAGGACUUUCGGAAAAAAAUUAUACUUUAAUUAUAUUUAGUCAAUAUAUUUUGGUAUUGUUGUAUUAGUUAGUGUCGGUUCAAAGAAUUAUCCGUAUAUAUUUUAGUCUUCCAUGAGUUAUGCCUGAGAAUCUUCAGAUAUGAUUAUGAGUAAUUUUGUCAUUUUUCAAAUGAGACUGAAACAAGAUUAAUCAUUUUCUUUCCAGUACUUAAUGUUGAGUGGUGUUUUGUAUAGCCACAUGCCACAUGCCACAUGCCACAUACCAUUUGCCUGCCUGUUAUAUUUAUAGUCAACAGAUUAUAUCAUUUCUUGAGACCAAAGAAAGUCCAAAUCAGAUACAAAUUAAAGAGAAAGGCAUUAAUCUAAGGGUCCGAUUGGUAAUUGCUGUAGCUUUAAAUAUUUUGCUGUAGAAAAAAAUCUGUAGACUUUUGGCUGUGGCUUUAGAUUUUAUUGCUGUAGAAUUUUAUUGAAGCACUAAAAAAUUGCUUUGGAUAUUUGGCUCUGCAGAGCACUUGUACAACUGUAGGUUAUUUUAAGAGCUGUGGUUUCAAAAAAAAAAUUAAAGCUUGAUUGCUCUG